GACGAACGCUGGCGGCGUGCUUAACACAUGCAAGUCGAGCGGAAAGGCCCUUCGGGGUACUCGAGCGGCGAACGGGUGAGUAACACGUGAGUAAUCUGCCCUUCACUUUGGGAUAACCUCCGGAAACGGUGGCUAAUACCGAAUGCGACCACUUCCUGCAUGGGAUGGUGGUGGAAAGCUUUUGCGGUGGGGGAUGUGCUCGCGGCCUAUCAGCUUGUUGGUGAGGUAAUGGCUCACCAAGGCUUCGACGGGUAGCCGGCCUGAGAGGGUGACCGGCCACACUGGGACUGAGACACGGCCCAGACUCCUACGGGAGGCAGCAGUGGGGAAUAUUGGACAAUGGGCGGAAGCCUGAUCCAGCAACGCCGCGUGAGGGAUGACGGCCUUCGGGUUGUAAACCUCUUUCGCCUAGGACGAAGCGCAAGUGACGGUACUAGGUAAAGAAGCACCGGCCAACUACGUG
RNAcentral lists this ribosomal RNA (463 nucleotides) under uncultured organism. RNAcentral's name for it is "bacterial SSU rRNA". It matches the Rfam family "Bacterial small subunit ribosomal RNA", at positions 28 to 507 of the family's 1533-position model. The record is from RNAcentral.